This 478-nucleotide ribosomal RNA is filed under the name uncultured bacterium. Its description in RNAcentral is "partial 16S ribosomal RNA". It matches the Rfam family "Bacterial small subunit ribosomal RNA", at positions 28 to 507 of the family's 1533-position model. The record is from RNAcentral.
GAUGAACGCUAGCGGCAGGCCUAACACAUGCAAGUCGAGGGAGAAGCCCUUUCGGGGGCCGAAACCGGCGCACGGGUGCGUAACGCGUAUGCAACCUACCUUUCACAGGGGGAUAGCCCGAAGAAAUUUGGAUUAAUACCCCAUAAUAUUAUUGGAUGGCAUCAUUUGAUAAUUAAAACUGCGGUGGUGAAAGAUGGGCAUGCGUCCUAUUAGCUAGUUGGAGUGGUAACGGCACCCCAAGGCUACGAUAGGUAGGGGUCCUGAGAGGGAGAUCCCCCACACUGGUACUGAGACAGGGACCAGACUCCUACGGGAGGCAGCAGUGAGGAAUAGUGAUCAAUGGUCGGAAGACUGAACCAGCCAUGCCGCGUGCAGGAAGAAUGCCUUAUGGGUUGUAAACUGCUUUUAGAUGGGAAGAAUAAGGCGUACGUGUACGUUGAUGACGGUACCAGAUGAAUAAGCAGCGGCUAACUCCGUG